CUCAUUCGAGGCAUUACAUUAGGGCUCUACUACUACAAAAUUGGAAUACAAUAACGUUUGAAAUAAAAAAAAAAAAGUGAUAUGGAAGAAGUAAGAUAUGUCGAUAAAUUUUUUUUAAAAAAAGCAAAAUUUUGAUGAAAAACAAUACUACUUUUGGAUUUGCAUAUUUCUUGGCACAAUUUAUGUGUUGUUAAUUAACGACGACACCUACUCUUAGUAUCAUUAAAAAAAAUUCAUAAAUGAAAAACCCUCAUUCCAAUUUUUUAGGCAUUCCUUCGUAUGAAAACAUAAAUCUCCAUCAACCUCUCGAAAAAACGCUUGCAAAUUCUCUAUCCACCUCUAUACCCUCCUCCGUCUGCCGUCAUCUCGCACUGCCAUCCUCCUCCGUCUGGUGUUUCUCGUUGUACCCUCUUUUGUUCAGUUUUUUUCACAGUGAACACUCCUUCGUCUGGUGCUUCUCGCGGUGAACGCUCCUCUAUUUAGUGCUUCCUCUGUCCGAUGCUUUGUCGUCUCAUUUCCUCCUCUGUUCUGCCCUCUGUAAAUGUUCGUUUGGUGCUCAAUUGUGCUCCAUCUGGUGUUGCGUCCUUCCCUCGUACCAAUUUUAACAACUGCAAGUGUUUAGGGUUUUGGCUUUCAUUGGUCUCUAAUUAACAUAUUUUUUUAAUUCAGUUAUUUAUUGAUAUGAAUUUCGUCAACUAGGAUCUAUAGAGUUUGUUUCUCUAUUUUCAUUAUUUUAUAGAUUUUUGGAGUUGUUUCUCCUUAUUCCUUAUUUGUAGAUACUUGAUUUUUCCUAGUGUGUGAAAUAAAAACCAAUUUCAAGAAAAAGUUAAACUCUCCCAUCAUCUUGAAUAAUACUAUACAAUAGUUUAUGUGUUUGAUGGAUUAGUUAAUUGGGUGUUGGAUGAGAGGCAAAGGGAAAGUAGUGAAUGGUCUAUUUGAUGUGGGGGUUGGGGUCCAAGAAUGGAUGCUACUCCUUGAAUAUGGGAACAAAUUAAAAAGGGUUAUACAAUAAUGUCACAUGCACAUCCAUACUGAGUACACAAUCUCACAUGGAUCUCCAAAAAUAAAAAAGAAAUGAAGCAAAAAAAGUUAAAAAAGAAGGCAUAAGGUAUCACCUCGAGAAGGGUGCAUAUCC
This 1135-nucleotide long non-coding RNA is filed under the name Cucumis sativus (cucumber). RNAcentral's name for it is "long non-coding RNA (CSAT_LNC002779)". The record is from RNAcentral. Lineage: Eukaryota; Viridiplantae; Streptophyta; Magnoliopsida; Cucurbitales; Cucurbitaceae.